RNAcentral lists this ribosomal RNA (496 nucleotides) under uncultured bacterium. RNAcentral describes it as "partial 16S ribosomal RNA". It matches the Rfam family "Bacterial small subunit ribosomal RNA", at positions 28 to 507 of the family's 1533-position model. The record is from RNAcentral.
GAUGAACGCUGGCGGCGUGCCUAAUACAUGCAAGUCGAGCGAACAGACGAGGAGCUUGCUCCUCUGACGUUAGCGGCGGACGGGUGAGUAACACGUGGAUAACCUACCUAUAAGACUGGGAUAACUUCGGGAAACCGGAGCUAAUACCGGAUAAUAUUUUGAACCGCAUGGUUCAAUAGUGAAAGACGGUUUUGCUGUCACUUAUAGAUGGAUCCGCGCGGCAUUAGCUAGUUGGUAAGGUAACGGCUUACCAAGGCAACGAUGCGUAGCCGACCUGAGAGGGGAUCCGCCAAACUGGAACUGAGACACGGGCCAGGACUCCAAGGGAAGGCGCAGGAGGGGAUCUUCCGGAAAGGGGGGAAACCUGGAGGAAGAACGGCGGGGGGGUGGAGGAGGGCUUCGGAUUGUAAAACUCUGGUAUUAGGGAAAAACAAAUGUGUAAGGAAAUAGGCACGUUUUGACGGUAACUAAUCAGAAAGCCACGGCUAAAUACGGG